UAUUAGUUUCUAUAAUAUGUCUGCAAAAUUUCAUGGACUUUGGUUGCUUAAUAAUAUUAAAGCCACUCUGCUUAUAAACGUGGAAUGUAAUUUGUAUAAGCUAAGCGUUAUGGAUGGCUGCUAUGAUCUAUUAUACUGUUAUGUAUUUUAUUUACACCAAUUUGAGAGUCAAAUUGAAAGAAAAUCCGCAAAUAAUAAUAAAACGAUGUUUCUGCAGUAUAAUUAUUAAUUACUGUUACGCUAGUAAUUUUAUCAAUACCUUUGCAAGAAUCAGCGAAUUUUUUCAUAACUGACAUUGAAGUUAUUUGCUUUCGGCCAUUUAUAUUCAAUCCUAUCUGUAAUCCAUCGAUAGCUUAUUCAUAAAAAAUUGUACUCUCUUAUCGACAGAAAGGGAUAUAUUAAUUUUGGUCAUUUGUCAUCAUUAAAAUAAUUAUUGAAUUAAAAUAAUUAUUGAAUUGAAUGAAAACAAAAUACGGAUGAGAUCGUCUUCUCCAUGGUUUAUUUUUAUUAUCUUCAGGGCUCUUAUACUGUCUAUGCCCUGCCUAUUAUGUUCUUGAUUGUUGAAUCGUUUUAAAUUUUGACCAAUAUGCAUAUUGUAUGACCAAGAUACUGCAUAUUUGACAGAAAAUAAAUUAACUGAAUUUUCUUUCUAUUUGGCUUGUAGAAUAUAACAUAAGCUUUUAUUAAAAUAAAAAGGCGGAGGCAUUACAUAUUUUCAAUAGAUUUUUAUCUACUUUAUAAUUUUUAACAAAUUUAUUGCGAACACCAUGUUUUUUGGACCACUGCCACUGAAAGAGAAUUUUUGUAAAUAAAUUGGUACAUAUACAGACACCGUGGUAAAUGAAAUAUGGGUGUCACGAUUAUAAUUAGCUACACUGAUCUGUUUUUGUAACAUGUAGUAAAUAAAUAAAGUAUAUAAAAGGCUGUGUAAAUUAUUAAAGCCGUGUAUUCCGCACCUUAUGUAUAAACCCUGGGCCACGGCUAUUACGUCAUAAUGGUGAUCGUAGAUUUACGGCGCCUUCGAAUUUGCCAAAUCCAUAUAAAUAAAAACGCGCGACUGCAGCGUUACACCCGCGCUGCGGCCGCGCAUGUGUUCAUCGAUCGAAAUUAUAUGGAUCAAAAAGCAUUCCUUACCACGAAAAUUGUGAUUAUCACAUUGCUAUUUAGACUGGCUCCAAAAUUUUAACCGACUUCAAAGAAAGGAGUGGUUGAUGGCGACUUUAUUUUGCUGCAACUUGUACAUUUUAGCCAAUGACAGAUGUUACCAAUCACAGGUGAUCGCGAUUAUCACAGUACUGUCAAACUACGGCGGUAGGCCUACGUACGUACCGUGAAUUCCGCCAAGCACAGCAAUUACUGAGGUAGCAAUGUGAUAACACUAGGGUCUAGGACGUCAAACGUUGGUUUUCUGUAAUGAAAAAUGGGUUGUCGCGUGCGACUAGUAUGCGUAAGCUACAAUGAAUGUAUGGAAACAUGGGAUUUGAUAUAGCAAGCGCCCUGGGUGCGCGAACGAGACGUUUUGAAAACAAAAUGUAUGGCACCCUAUGGAACGGGCGCCACUGCUUGCGCUUCACGUAACAUAGAGCGCCAUACAUAUUAUUGAAUUUACGACGUCCCAUCCGCGCGCACCGGGCGCUUGCUAUCUGUGAAACAAAGCACGAAUCACGGGGCGCAGCGGCAAUAAUAGUGACACUUGUUUUCGCUGCGCGCCGCUUGUCGAAUCGCUUAGUCGUGGCCCUGGGUGCAAAAGAUUAUAAUUUCAUACACACAUACGUUGUUCUUGUAUCUUUACUGAGCUUUUGAUGGUGUUGUCAAUGGAAUUAUAGUCUUCUAAUCAAUCUUGUAUGAAAUAAAUCAGAGACAUUGUGUUUUAUGGAAAGGUUCAGUGUUAUUGACUGGAAGUUUCAUAAUAAAAUUAUAUUAUGCUUUAUUUU
Molecule: long non-coding RNA, 1934 nt
Organism: Maniola jurtina (meadow brown)
Lineage: Eukaryota; Metazoa; Arthropoda; Insecta; Lepidoptera; Nymphalidae
Exons: 2
Source: RefSeq, a predicted model, not a curated record